CAGCUUGAAUGGCUCAAGUUUAUGUUUUCGGGUAGCAAACAUAGCAUAGUCUGAUGUGCAGACAACAAUACCAACAUCAGUCGCGGUGAAUUUCAAGCACAUGACUCAAAGCACUCAGAGACUAGUCCCAGACCAGCCCAAAUCCAAGAUUCGAAUAGCAAUGCUGCAGGUGUGCUGCAAAUGGAGCAACCAGUUGCAUAGCCCAAAUGGCACUCUGGGACACCCCUAGAUUGUCAAUGUCGUCUAACGUGGCAUUCCCACCAUGUUAGCAGAUUCUGAUCUCAAGAGCAUUUGCUGUACUUACUGCUGGGACCCAAUGGCAUGUAUUCUAUCCACAAUACUUCAGGACCAUUGUCCAGCAGAGGGCAAAUUGUGUAAUGGAACUCCAACAUUGUCGCCCAGUGGAAGGCAGUCAAGCUGCUAAGGACACGACCCACUUCUGGAUCAUGCCCUGUUCGCAAUUGGUGCCUGAAAUUGCAGAAACACGCUCAGGCUAACUUGGCUGCCUGAAAUUGAACUUGCAUGCACGCUGCUUCAGGACAUAAGCCGCCAGCACGCUUUCAUUGUUGCAAGCAUGAAAACCGGGCUAAGAAGAGCGAUAAACAUUUCUGCUCUAGGAGUUGGAUAUCGAGGACGUACCCACGGUGUCCACAAUAUAAUAGGUGGUUGCCUGUGAGAAGGUAUGUUUUCGGAAGUUUUCAUCGGCGCGACGUUUUCAGCCUGGAAGAGAGUGCUCAGGGCCGAUAUUAGUGUCGUUGCAAUGAAUUCUGCGGCGAAAGCCAUUUCCCGGGCGUCUGUGCAGUUCGCUGCAAAGCCAAGGAGUGAAAAACUCAGCGUUGUACAGGUAGAAGGAAAAAAAGCAGUCAUCCCUUGGAACUUCAUGCAGGUAAGCCUUGGUAAGGUGCAAAAGAUAUUAGAGGGGAUGGACCUUACAUGUCGGGAAUGGCAUGGCAGUGUGGUUGCCUUUCCAGUUGUAAAUCACACUGUCGCCGACCAACGCGGUGCCAUCUUGAUAGGGCAGUAGGUUGGCCAGAGUGGGGUUGUCCCAAUUGAUGGGCCCAGCAGGCGUUGCCAUUGGUGCUGCCGCAGGCAGGAACCCUGCAGAAAAGUAGGUGCACCGGUUAUCAGCAGGCCCAGGCUAGUUGACAGUCCUUGUAGUUGAUGGGCAUUACUGCUCCCCUCAGCAGUAUGCUUAUGCCCUUCAAAAGGCAAAGAUAGUGGUCACGAAGCGCUGUUGCCUGCUGUAGACCACUUGUUCCAUUCACGGAGAUAGAACGCCACUUCAAACCCUUUGCACCCCCUGCACAGGCAAGUCGAGCUACACUGUGCUGAAGCGUCUUUCCCCUCUCAAUCAAAACUAGAUACGUGUAUUCCAACGCGUAAGCUGCUCACCUGCAGCGCAG
This 1403-nucleotide long non-coding RNA is filed under the name Coccomyxa subellipsoidea. RNAcentral's name for it is "long non-coding RNA (CSUB_LNC000750)". Lineage: Eukaryota; Viridiplantae; Chlorophyta; Trebouxiophyceae; Coccomyxaceae. The record is from RNAcentral.